This 468-nucleotide ribosomal RNA is filed under the name uncultured bacterium. Its description in RNAcentral is "partial 16S ribosomal RNA". It matches the Rfam family "Bacterial small subunit ribosomal RNA", at positions 28 to 507 of the family's 1533-position model. The record is from RNAcentral.
GACGAACGCUGGCGGCGUGCUUAACACAUGCAAGUCGAACGGAAAGGCCCUGCUUUUGUGGGGUGCUCGAGUGGCGAACGGGUGAGUAACACGUGAGUAACCUGCCCUUGACUUUGUGAUAACUUCUGGAAACUGGGGCUAAUACCCGGUAUGAUCUCCUGCUCCAUGUGGUUGGUUGGAAAGUUCCGGCGGUUGUGGCUGGACUCGCGGCUUAUCCGCUUCUUGGUGGGGUAGUGGCUUACCAAGGCUUUGACGGGUAGCCGGCCUGAGAGGCGGACCGGCGUCCUUGGGACUGAGGGACGGACCAGACUGCUACGGGCGGCAGUAGGGGGGAACAUUGCACAAUAGGCGGAAGCCUGAUGCAGCAACGCCGCGUGCGGAAUGACGGCUUUCGGGUUGUAAACCGAUGUCGCAGGUGAAGAAGCGUGAGUGACGGUACUGAGUCAAGAAGCAACGGCUAACUACGUG